RNAcentral lists this ribosomal RNA (253 nucleotides) under uncultured bacterium. Its description in RNAcentral is "partial 16S ribosomal RNA". It matches the Rfam family "Bacterial small subunit ribosomal RNA", at positions 524 to 776 of the family's 1533-position model. The record is from RNAcentral.
UACGUAGGGGGCAAGCGUUGUCCGGAAUCAUUGGGCGUAAAGAGCGCGUAGGCGGCCCUGUAAGUCCGCUGUGAAAGUCAAGGGCUCAACCCUUGAAUGCCGGUGGAUACUGCAGGGCUAGAGUCCGGAAGAGGCGAGUGGAAUUCCUGGUGUAGCGGUGAAAUGCGCAGAUAUCAGGAGGAGCACCGAUGGCGAAGGCAGCUCGCUGGGACGGUACUGACGCUGAGGCGCGAAAGCGUGGGGAGCAAACAGG